RNAcentral lists this long non-coding RNA (701 nucleotides) under Lynx pardinus (Iberian lynx). The record is from RNAcentral. Lineage: Eukaryota; Metazoa; Chordata; Mammalia; Carnivora; Felidae.
UCACUUCUGGCACAUCACACUCUCCUGGAAGCAUGAUCUUCACUCCCUUCCUUCCACCUCCUGACCUGGUGAGUCUGCUUUCCCUCUUACCAUAGGAUGUCAGCCCCAGGGGGCUGGAGUGUGGGCUACAGCAGUCCCAGCUGUAUCCCUAACGCCUGGAAUAGGGCCAAGGAUGCACACAAUAUUUACUAAAUGAGUUAAUGAAUGUCAGGGAACAUGGGGACCACUAGGAUGAGGCUAUUUACUCUUGCUCUGUUUGUUUUUCAGAAUGUGAAAGACACCAAGGAAUUUGUUUUUUUGUUUGACACUGCAGAGAACCCACCCAAUGGCACAAGCUCACCCAGAGAGCCUGCUGGUCCCCAAGGAUCUUGGAGGAGCUGGUUCCAGAGAGCCCUGGCACAUUUCACCAGGUCCUUCAGGUGAGAGCUCAGAGCCAGCCUCUGCCUCUCACUGCUCACAGCCAAGCCAGCACACCUCCCCUUCUACUUGACCCAGAGAGCCUCCAGGCCAGGCCUCACUUCCCCAGAGUUACCAAGGGUCCAGUUGCCAUUCUGCUUUGCCUUUGUAGGGGAGGAUACCAGACAAUUGGAAACUGAGGUCACGGGGGCCACAGGCAGACCCAUGAAUAAUGAUGGAGCCCCCUCAGCUGCCACAUGCCCUUGCUUUCCCCAGUUUUUUGGUCACUGGCCUUGAAAUAAAUG